RNAcentral lists this ribosomal RNA (253 nucleotides) under uncultured bacterium. RNAcentral describes it as "partial 16S ribosomal RNA". It matches the Rfam family "Bacterial small subunit ribosomal RNA", at positions 524 to 776 of the family's 1533-position model. The record is from RNAcentral.
GACGUAGGGCGCGAGCGUUGUCCGGAUUUAUUGGGCGUAAAGGGCGCGUAGGCGGCUCGGCACGUCCGUUGUGAAAUCGCCCGGCUCAACUGGGCGGGGUCAGCGGAUACGGCAGAGCUUGAGCAAGCUAGGGGGCAAUGGAAUUCCCGGUGUAGUGGUGGAAUGCGUAGAUAUCGGGAGGAACACCAAUUGCGAAGGCAGCUCGCUGGGACGUUACUGACGCUGAGACGCGAAAGCGUGGGGAGCAAACAGG